RNAcentral lists this small nuclear RNA (107 nucleotides) under Ailuropoda melanoleuca (giant panda). Lineage: Eukaryota; Metazoa; Chordata; Mammalia; Carnivora; Ursidae. The record is from RNAcentral.
GUGCUCACUCCGGCAGCACAUAUACUAAAAUUGGAACGAUACAGAGAAGAUUAGCAUGGCCCCUGCACAAGGAUGACAUGCAAAUUCGUGAAGCAUUCCAUAUUUUU